UUCGGAGAGUUUGAUCUUGGCUCAGGACGAACGCUGACGGUGUGCUUUAGGCAUGCAAGUCGAACGAGAAAGCCCUUCGGGGUUAGUAAAGUGGCGAACGGGUGAGUAACACGUGGGCAACCUGCCCCUCGCAGGGGGAUAACCGGGGGAAACUCCGGCUAAUACCCCGUACGCUUGUUGGAUCGCAUGGUCCGGCAAGGAAAGGUAGCUUCGGCCAUCCGGCGAGGGAUGGGCCCGCGUUGCAUUAGCUAGUUGGUGGGGUAACGGCCCACCAAGGCAACGAUGCGUAGCUGGUCUGAGAGGAUGAUCAGCCACACUGGGACUGAGACACGGCCCAGACUCCUACGGGAGGCAGCAGCCAGGAAUCUUGGGCAAUGGGCGAAAGCCUGACCCAGCAACACCGUGUGGGUGACGAAGGCCUUAGGGUCGUAAAGCCCUGUUGAUAGGGACGAAGGGCGAAGGGUUAAUAGCCCCCAGCUUGACGGUACCUUUCGAGGAAGCCCCGGCUAACUACGUGCCAGCAGCCGCGGUAAUACGUAGGGGGCGAGCGUUGUCCGGAAUUAUUGGGCGUAAAGAGCGUGUAGGCGGUUCGGUAAGUCUGCUGUGAAAUCCUAGGGCUCAACCCUGGGCGUGCAGCGGAUACUGCCGGGCUAGAGGGUGGUAGAGG
This 667-nucleotide ribosomal RNA is filed under the name Rubrobacter sp. Its description in RNAcentral is "bacterial SSU rRNA". It matches the Rfam family "Bacterial small subunit ribosomal RNA", at positions 1 to 657 of the family's 1533-position model. Lineage: Bacteria; Bacillati; Actinomycetota; Rubrobacteria; Rubrobacterales; Rubrobacteraceae. The record is from RNAcentral.